CGCGUAGGUAACCUGCCUGGUAGCGGGGGAUAACUAUUGGAAACGAUAGCUAAUACCGCAUAAGAACAUUUACUGCAUGGUAGAUGUUUAAAAGGUGCAAAUGCAUCACUACCAGAUGGACCUGCGUUGUAUUAGCUAGUAGGUGAGGUAACGGCUCACCUAGGCGACGAUACAUAGCCGACCUGAGAGGGUGAUCGGCCACACUGGGACUGAGACACGGCCCAGACUCCUACGGGAGGCAGCAUG
This 246-nucleotide ribosomal RNA is filed under the name uncultured bacterium. RNAcentral's name for it is "partial 16S ribosomal RNA". It matches the Rfam family "Bacterial small subunit ribosomal RNA", at positions 114 to 353 of the family's 1533-position model. The record is from RNAcentral.